RNAcentral lists this ribosomal RNA (253 nucleotides) under uncultured bacterium. RNAcentral's name for it is "partial 16S ribosomal RNA". It matches the Rfam family "Bacterial small subunit ribosomal RNA", at positions 524 to 776 of the family's 1533-position model. The record is from RNAcentral.
GACAGAGGGUGCAAACGUUGUUCGGAAUUACUGGGCGUAAAGCGUGUGUAGGCGGCUACGCAAGUCGGAUGUGAAAGCCCCGGGCUCAACCCGGGAAGUGCACCCGAAACUGCGUGGCUCGAGUACCGGAGAGGUUGGUGGAAUUCUCGGUGUAGAGGUGAAAUUCGUAGAUAUCGAGAGGAACACCGGUGGCGAAGGCGGCCCCCUGGACAAAGACUGACGCUCAGGUGCGAAAGCGUGGGGAGCAAACAGG